UCGGGAAUUAUGCGCAAUGGACGAAAGUCUGACGCUGCGACGUCGCGUGGGUGAUGAAGGUCUUCGGAUCGUAAAACCCUGUCGAGAGGGAAGAAAGAGCGGGCGCUAAUAUCGCCUACUUCUGACGGUACCUCUGGAGGAAGCCCCGGCUAACUCUGUGCCAGCAGCCGCGGUAAUACAGAGGGGGCAAGCGUUGUUCGGAAUUACUGGGCGUAAAGCGUGCGCAGGCGGCUCCUUAAGUCAGAUGUGAAAUCCCCGGGCUUAACCUGGGAACUGCGUUUGAAACUGAGGGGCUAGAGUGUGGAAGAGGGGGGUGGAAUUCCAGGUGUAGCAGUGAAAUGCGUAGAGAUCUGGAGGAACACCGAUGGCGAAGGCAGCCCCCUGGGCUAACACUGACGCUCAUGCACGAAAGCGUGGGGAGCAAACAGGAUUAGAUACCCCAGUAGUCCCUGAGCGGGCUGGCAAGGCGCAU
RNAcentral lists this ribosomal RNA (472 nucleotides) under uncultured bacterium. Its description in RNAcentral is "bacterial SSU rRNA". It matches the Rfam family "Bacterial small subunit ribosomal RNA", at positions 355 to 825 of the family's 1533-position model. The record is from RNAcentral.